GACGAACGCUGGCGGCGUGCUUAACACAUGCAAGUCGAACGGAAAGGCCCUGCUUUUGUGGGGUGCUCGAGUGGCGAACGGGUGAGUAACACGUGAGUAACCUGCCCUUGACUUUGGGAUAACUUCAGGAAACUGGGGCUAAUACCGGAUAGGAGCUCCUGCUGCAUGGUGGGGGUUGGAAAGUUUCGGCGGUUGGGGAUGGACUCGGGGCUUAUCAGCUUGUUGGUGGGGUAGUGGCUUACCAAGGCUUCGACGGGUAGCCGGCCUGAGAGGGGGGUCGGCCACAUUGGGACUGAGGUACGGCCCAGACGCCUACGGGAGGCAGCAGGGGGGAAUAUUGCACAAUGGGCGGAAGCCUGAGGAAGCAACGCCGCGUGCGGGAUGACGGCCUUCGGGUUGUAAACCGCUGUCACCUGUGACGAAGCGUGAGUGACGGUAAUGGGUAAAGAAGCACCGGCUAACUACGUG
RNAcentral lists this ribosomal RNA (468 nucleotides) under uncultured bacterium. RNAcentral's name for it is "partial 16S ribosomal RNA". It matches the Rfam family "Bacterial small subunit ribosomal RNA", at positions 28 to 507 of the family's 1533-position model. The record is from RNAcentral.